CCGUGGGCCACCCCUCCCCAACGAGGGGCCACUAUCUGGAAGGAUAGACCAC
Mesorhizobium sp. LNHC252B00 is the source of this 52-nucleotide non-coding RNA. The record is from Rfam. Lineage: Bacteria; Pseudomonadati; Pseudomonadota; Alphaproteobacteria; Hyphomicrobiales; Phyllobacteriaceae.